UUAAAGAAGCCAAAAAUGGUAAAAGAUUACGACUGAUGAAAGUUAUUAUAGAACUGAAACUGAAGACACGGUUUCUUACUUUUCUUCUUGGCCUUACUUCCACCCCACCUCCAGCCUCAUUUUGAGCGUUUAGGAAGGAGCACGCUCUGCUUCCAGACCUUAAAAGGCUGAGAUAGCAAUUGGAGAUUACUCCUAGGGUGAAGAAGAACAGAUAUCAGCCCAAUCUGUAGGUGUAACACCAAGCAGAACCUGACCUGAAAAUGUUGUUGAAAAAUGUCUCCGGUUCCAGAAGAAAUUCUACUGAACGCAUCAAUCAUGCUGUUGGAGUUUGAGUUAUCUGGAACAAAGAACUUUAAACCUCCUGAAAUACAUGAUUAGGAUGUUAACUAUUAAAAUGUAUAAAAUAAAACAAAAAAUAACAUGUUAGGUCUUUUUCAACAACCUUUCUUAUGGGGAAGGAGUUGGGCUUGACUUGCUUUGCAUAGUAUCCUACCGGCCACAUGGUAAGCAGCAGAGAUUUUCAACCACAGAUGAACCCAGGGCAAUGGAAUGAAUGGUUGAACCACUGCUGAGCACGAUGAGAGAACAGUUCAGGAAGACUAUUUUGCUCCUGAUUAUAGACAGCAAGUGAAGAAGCCAGGAGAGACUAAAAUUUUAACCAUUAUCUGAGAGUGCUGGGUUUUCAGAAGUGGUUUUCUGGAAGGCUGUGAGCUUCCUGCAUGACUGAGGUAUGGUUUUCUAUUCAUGGUGACAUGGAAAAUACACACACAGUGGAUAUGUACACUCUUUGCAAACUCACCAUUUCUUACCUCAGCAAGGGUUGUGUACCAGUGAGCAAAAUAUGGCCAGACAAGAGAUUCUCUUACACGUCAGAGUUUUGGGAAAGGGUGUUGGUUGGAAAAAAGUUGCAAUUAGUAGCAAAAAAUCAGGGCUAGGGAUUAUCUGUGGGUUUCAUUUAUCUGCCUUAUCUCAAUUUCUGGCCUACAUUCUAAAUUUGUUCCUCCUGCCCCCAAGAAAAGAUGAAAUGCAUGACAAUUCCAUACCUUUGGCCUCUCCUCUUCUGCCCUUAACCUCUGAAAAUGAAAAGAAUUAAAGAAAAAAAAAAAAC
Long non-coding RNA from Mustela erminea (ermine), 1108 nucleotides. RefSeq lists it as uncharacterized. The record is from RefSeq and is a predicted model, not a curated record. The transcript is spliced from 4 exons. NCBI's taxonomy places the organism in Eukaryota, Metazoa, Chordata, Mammalia, Carnivora, Mustelidae.